AUAAUCUAUCAAAUACCUUUUUCCUCUUCAAAAUUUAGACGAACUCCAGUCGACACCCAACACAGUUUUGAGCCACCGGCACCACACACUUCUUUUCAGAUUUUUCACGCAUCUUCAAAGUCAAAUUGAAGUCUAUUAUACCAAAUCGAAGACAAAGAGAUUCUAGACCUUCGGUGAUAAUAUUUGCUACAAAUAAAGUUUCAGAUCAAUAAUUUUUUUGGAGCAAACUAAGUUAAGAAUUUGAAAUUAAAUGUGUUUCAUAACAUCAU
This 269-nucleotide long non-coding RNA is filed under the name Olea europaea (common olive). RNAcentral describes it as "long non-coding RNA (OEUR_LNC004842)". The record is from RNAcentral. Lineage: Eukaryota; Viridiplantae; Streptophyta; Magnoliopsida; Lamiales; Oleaceae.